Molecule: long non-coding RNA, 591 nt
Filed under: Homo sapiens (human)
Lineage: Eukaryota; Metazoa; Chordata; Mammalia; Primates; Hominidae
Description: HSALNT0356311
Source: RNAcentral
CAGGAUAAUUGCUUGAACCUGGGAGGCAGAGGUUGCAGUGGGCCGAGAUCGUGCCACUGCACUCCAGCCUGGACGACAGAGCAAGACUCCAUCUCAAAAAAAAGAAAAAAAAAGAUUUCAUGAAGAGUAACCUGAGAAAACAGGGAAGUGCCCUUGUAGGUGAAAUGACUCAGGCUGAAUGAUGCAGGCACUUGAAAGGUAUGGGGGAAAGUCAUGUUCAUAAGAAGAGCAAAACUGACUAGUGGCCUUGUGAGAAGAGAGAGCAACACCAGCAAUGCACAUGCAAAGAGGAAAGGCCCUGCAAGGAUGCUAAGAACGAGGACGGCCAUCCGCCCACCAAGGAGAGAAGUAUCAGGAGGAACAAACCGGCCAACACCUUGAUCUUGGACUUCCAGCCUCCAGAACUGUCCGCAGCUUGGGCUACCUUCCAGCAUAAAGUCACUAAAGAUGUGCCGGGCAUGAUGAAGGAAGAAAGCGACUACAUGCUGAAGGAGAUGGUGCGGGGACUCGCUAGUACCUAUUGGCAGGACCUGGGGAACUUUGGUGGGUGCUUGAUAAUGGGGACUGGAAUAAAAACUGGCUAAGCAAAAA